UUAACUGAAGCCAAAAAGAGGCAUAUUAUUGUUAAUAAUACCAAUGAAAGAAAAUUCCAGUUAAA
RNAcentral lists this transfer RNA (65 nucleotides) under Teredorus nigropennis. RNAcentral's name for it is "tRNA-Asn". The record is from RNAcentral. RNAcentral also lists the same sequence under 2 other names. Lineage: Eukaryota; Metazoa; Arthropoda; Insecta; Orthoptera; Tetrigidae.